RNAcentral lists this ribosomal RNA (253 nucleotides) under uncultured bacterium. RNAcentral's name for it is "partial 16S ribosomal RNA". It matches the Rfam family "Bacterial small subunit ribosomal RNA", at positions 524 to 776 of the family's 1533-position model. The record is from RNAcentral.
UACGGAGGGUGCAAACGUUGCUCGGAAUUACUGGGCGUAAAGCGUGCGCAGGCGGUUUUGUAAGCCAGAUGUGAAAUCCCCGGGCUUAACCUGGGAAUGGCAUUUGGGACUGCAAGGCUGGAGUGUGGCAGAGGAGACUGGAAUUCCUGGUGUAGCAGUGAAAUGCGUAGAUAUCAGGAGGAAUACCGAUGGCGAAGGCAGGUCUCUGGGCUGACACUGACGCUCAUGCACGAAAGCGUGGGGAGCAAACAGG